RNAcentral lists this ribosomal RNA (476 nucleotides) under uncultured organism. RNAcentral describes it as "partial 16S ribosomal RNA". It matches the Rfam family "Bacterial small subunit ribosomal RNA", at positions 332 to 799 of the family's 1533-position model. The record is from RNAcentral.
UACACUCCUACGGGAGGCAGCAGUGGGGAAUUUUGGACAAUGGGCGAAAGCCUGAUCCAGCCAUGCCGCGUGCAGGAUGAAGGCCUUCGGGUUGUAAACUGCUUUUGUACGGAACGAAACGGCCUUUUCUAAAAAAGAGGGCUAAUGACGGUACCGUAAGAAUAAGCACCGGCUAACUACGUGCCAGCAGCCGCGGUAAUACGUAGGGUGCAAGCGUUAAUCGGAAUUACUGGGCGUAAAGCGUGCGCAGGCGGUUAUGUAAGACAGUUGUGAAAUCCCCGGGCUCAACCUGGGAACUGCAUCUGUGACUGCAUAGCUAGAGUACGGUAGAGGGGGAUGGAAUUCCGCGUGUAGCAGUGAAAUGCGUAGAUAUGCGGAGGAACACCGAUGGCGAAGGCAAUCCCCUGGACCUGUACUGACGCUCAUGCACGAAAGCGUGGGGAGCAAACAGGAUUAGAAACCCUUGUAGUCCCAUG